RNAcentral lists this long non-coding RNA (840 nucleotides) under Setaria viridis. Its description in RNAcentral is "long non-coding RNA (SVIR_LNC008886)". Lineage: Eukaryota; Viridiplantae; Streptophyta; Magnoliopsida; Poales; Poaceae. The record is from RNAcentral.
UGAAACAAUACAAGAAUCGUUAUAUAUACCUCGCUGGAACCUUCCGCCACGGCAAGGUGUUGCUGCGGCUGUUGCUCUUCAUUCCCAUCGGUGGACAUGUUGAGGAACAUGUCCGCCUGGGUGCCCUCUUCAUCCGUGUACGAUAGUGGAACGUUGUCGCCACUACCAUCACCAGCGAUUAUCUGCUCCAUGAUAUACCUUGCAGUCUCAUCGUCUGCCAUUUCAACUAUUGAUUGAAACAUACAUGGAAUCAUACAUGACAGUCAUAGAAAUCGCCUUACUUAUAUGUAUAUAAUGAAAUCAUAAAAUAACAUGAAUCCUACAAAGUCCGGAAUAUUUAUACAAAUUUCUACAAAUUAGUAGUACUUUGUGACGAAUUUCUAGCAAUAACAUGAAUUUUUACGAAUUUCUAGCAAUAACAUGAAUUUUUACGAAUUUCUAGCAAUAACCACAGGCGGUGCCUAGGUUGUGACGGCGGCGGUCAGGGCGGCGGUACAGCGGAGGUGGGGACGGAACCACGGGCGGUUCCUACUAGGUUGUGACGGCGGUGGUCAGGGCGGCGGGACGGCGGAGGCGGGGACGGAACCACGACGAAACACGAUUCAUUUCUAACCUAGGCGGAGCGACGAACCUAAUUACUACUAAUUACUACUAAUUUACACUAAUUUGAUUUUUAAACACAUAUACAAAAAUCUAACUUAAAAAAAAAUCUAACUUAAAAAUCUAACUUAAAAAAAAUCUAACUUAAAAAUCGUCGACGGUGACCGGGGCGACGAGGUGGCCGAGGCGACGAGGUGGCCGGGUCAGCGGAACGGCGGCGGCCGAGGCGGCGAGGACGGC